This 443-nucleotide ribosomal RNA is filed under the name uncultured bacterium. Its description in RNAcentral is "partial 16S ribosomal RNA". It matches the Rfam family "Bacterial small subunit ribosomal RNA", at positions 338 to 795 of the family's 1533-position model. The record is from RNAcentral.
CCUACGGGAGGCAGCAGUGGGGAAUAUUGGGCAAUGGAGGAAACUCUGACCCAGCAACGCCGCGUGAAUGAUGAAGGUCUUCGGAUUGUAAAGUUCUUUUCUAAGGGAAGAAGAAAGUGACGGGACCGUAGGAAUAAGCCUCGGCUAACUCCGUGCCAGCAGCCGCGGUAAUACGUAGGAGGCGAGCGUUAUCAGGAAUGACUGGGCGUAAAGGGGGCGUAGUGGGUUUGGCAAGUUAGUAGCGUAACUCCAAGGCUCAACCUUUGAACUACUACUAAAACUGUUGGACUUGAGUGCAGGAGGGGCAACCGGAAUUCCUAGUGUAGCGGUGGAAUGCGUAGAUAUUAGGAGGAACACCAGUGGCGAAGGCGGGUUGCUAGACUGUAACUGACACUGAGGCACGAAAGCGUGGGGAGCAAACAGGAUUAGAUACCCUUGUAGUC